CUCGUCCUUCUGGCCGCCGCCUCCCCCUUCCUUCGUCCUCGUCCGGUCGUCCCCGCCCCUUCCGCAAGCCCCUCUUCCCCAUGCCGUCGGUCCCCUCCUCUUUCGUGUCUCCCCUCGUUGGUCGUUGCCUCAUGUCACAGAGGAGUUACAGCCAGGUCGCCGCAGUUGCCCCGUCCGCCUCAGAUUUGAAGCAGGAGGACGGAGGCGGCCACCUGCCGCCGGCUCGGACAUGGGAGGAUAGGGAAGGGGAGGGUGAGCUCAUGGCCACAUGAGGGAGGGAGGGAGGAAGAUGAUUCGUGGGCGGGUCUGGUGAGGCCUUCCCCGCCGGCCUCUUCUUCUUCCUCGCGCUGCUGCCAUCUCCCUUGUCGUCCUCGUUGACUCCUGCAUCGCUCUUCUUGGCUGCCACUCCUUGUCAGCCGCAUCCUCGCCUAGCUGGAAGAAGCCGACGGAGGCCGACCCGCUGCAGCCACGACAUAUGAUGCAGAAAAUUGGAAGUGUUAGGAUCUUUGUAAGUUUUGGGUCUGCUGCCCCAACUCUGUCGUGCCCAGGCCUAGCCAGGCGACAGCGGACUGCAAAGAAGCCCUGGGAGGAGGACCCCGACUCGGAUGACGACCCCGCUUGCUUCUUCGACUUGUGGACCAACUGCACUUAUGGCUUAUCCAAGUUUUCAGUGGAGGAUCUGGUUCGGCAGAUCAGUUGAACUUGGUCAAUGCUGUUGGAGGAAGGAAAUAUAAUGAGGUGUUGACUCAGGAACUGUAGGAAGAAACAUGUUAGAGUCCAGUAGACGGCUUGUAGAAGGGUUGGAGCUGAAAAAAAUAUAACAUUAGCUUUAGAACUGGUUGCCUAUGCUGAAGAAGUCCACAUUGGCAUUUUCACCCCGCUAUUGUAGGAUUUAUGAUAUGUCUGAAAAAAGGGAAUUUUACCUUGUCAUGUACGUGUAUAUUUCUUGUUAUAGAUCUUACCUGCUCAAUGAAGUGCAACAAAGCAAACAAAUAUUAUUUAUAUAGCUAUCUGCAAUGCACGGUUAGGGUUGUCUCUUUCUACAGGAUAUUCUUUGUGUGUAUAUGAUCGCAGCAGAAAGAGGAUUGAGGAAAUGUAGAUGCGGCUUUGUGAGCAUCUACCGAGGUUGUCAGAUAGCACUUCUAUCUGAAGUCUUGUGGAUUAGAGAUGAAGGAUGAUGGGUUUGGCAACGAUGUUUGUUGUUUUAUUUUUCUGCUUAGUAUUUGUUUCAGAUAUAAAUUAUUCUGGUUAUGAUUUCUACACUGCGUAGUGUUGCUUGGUUAUUAUGAAAUUUAAAGCUAACUUACACACACCUCUUUUCACCAUGAACAGAUAUAUAUGCACCUGCUUUUGGGUAUUAGUAUUUCCCUUUCUCUGCUAUUAAGAAUGUGGCCCUAGUAUGGAGAAAGACGUCGAUCUUCUCUCGAAGACCACAAGGUUGAUGUCUUCUGUUGAUCAAUUUUGCUGACUCAAAAUGAUACUUCAUUCAUUUUGUUGUAACGAUCACCUUUGCCAGGCCAGUUGUUCUCGAAGGACCGGGAAAUUGGGGAGGAGGACAAUAAAUAUGCAAAAGGAGAGGUUGAUGUCCAUCCGAAUGCAAAAACAAGAGGUGCAAAUUUGAGGAUUAGCUUUUGUGGUUCUCGGUCUGCAAGGGAAUAAGAGUUCUUGUACUGACCAUUGUCUUUUUAUGUAUGCCAACUUUGCUUUGGUUAUUUCCUGGAAGCAACAAUGUCUUUCAACCUUCGUUAUAAUGCCAAGAUGCCACUACUGGGUAAAAAGAGACAUCUUUAUUCACACCUACAUUUAGGCACAAGACAUGUUCAGCAUAAGUCUAGUCGCAAUGGUGGAGGAUAUAUCCCCGCCAUGAAUGGAUGUGUUUUACACUGAGAUGGCGCGGGUCACUGAUGAGGCAACUGGCCGAGGUGAGAUCAGGAAGAGACGGCGGCACAAACUUAAUUGACAAGCUCACAGGUCACGGCUAACAUAAUCAGGCAUCAACAUCAAGCAACAACCAGCCAGCAGAAUGCAGCAAAGCAGCCAACGGCAGCAAGUAGAAAACGACAUCAGCAACAUGCAGCCAGCAACAUGCAGAGGUGAUUUCUCACCCUUCUAUUAGUGCCAAGGUCGGACGAAGCAGAGCAAUGAGCUCCUUACAGGGGCAGUGGCGGUCAACAUCGAGGAGGAAGUAGGAGGGACCCGUGGUCCAGGGGAGACACGGAGCCCGUCACGGUCUGUGGAGCUGUUCGGCGAGGAGGAUGACCACAGCGGCAGCCGACGAAACCGAAGAAGGCGGCCUCGGUCCUGCGUGCUGGCACCCGGAAUCACCAUUAAAGGGACAACAGGAGCAACAAUGGAGCUAGGGGAACUACCUAGGAACAAGAACGCACCAGAAAAACGAGGUGGUUCACGGCGGCGUCCAGCGUGCGUGCAUGUUGGAGCCGGAGGCGUGGACGUCGAUCCGGACUGAGGGCUUGUGUACCCCGCGGAUUCAUGCGGCUAGCGUUGCAACAGCGACUGGUGCCCCCGGCGAGCUGGAAAAGAAAGGGGAUCUAGGAAGGAAAUGAAGUGAGGAGGGAAGUAGCGGGGCAGAGUAGGAGAAAAGUUGCUAACUUUCUAAGCAGCAAUCACACACUACUUAUGCCAUGUAUUGUUGGAUUGCCGCCUUCCUGGAGCUCUAUGCGGUGGGUGCACUGAUCCAAUUUUCUCCUGUCAAUUUUCUCCUGUGAAACUUGAAGAGAAGCGUCAAUCCACAAUAAUCUGUCAUUCUCUAUCUCUGCUAUGCACAUGGCGCCCUCCACAACAAAUGAAACAUGGAAGCGACAUCUCUACAAAAAUCAGAGCCAAAUCCAGCGACAUCAUUGCUCGAAAAACACCGUACUUGUAAAUGCAAUAUAUAGCGCUUGUUAUGAACUUUUUUCUUAUGUUUGAAGAAUAUCGGUGUCUAAAUAUUCUAACUCGCA
Long non-coding RNA from Triticum dicoccoides, 2960 nucleotides. RefSeq lists it as uncharacterized. The record is from RefSeq and is a predicted model, not a curated record. Lineage: Eukaryota; Viridiplantae; Streptophyta; Magnoliopsida; Poales; Poaceae. The transcript has 7 exons.